GAGAUUGAUAGCCGUUAAUAUAAUUCAUAAUUUUUUUUCCUCAGCUGAAUUCUGUGGACAAUUGCACUUUACUGAGCUUUUUAAGGUGGUCUUUCGUUUACAGAGUCAUAUGAUUUGCAAAACUAGUAGUAAAAUAGCAUUAGAUUUGGUUAAGAUCAAAGUUGAAGAACACAAGGAACUCUCACAGUACAGUCUUUGAGAUAAAAUGAUUAAAACCACUUUGACCUGUAAAAAUGGUCUUAAGGAAAGUAAGACACUUUCUCCUUAUGCAGUCAUUGUAGGGUUUUUUAGCACACAAAUGUCAUGCAGAUUCACUUUCCAAGUACUGAAAUAAUGACUUAUUUUAACCUGAAAAAUACAUUGUUGAUCAUAGACGUCCUAUAACUUUCUAGUGAAUUAUUUUGCAGAUCUCCUAGUAUCUUCAGUAAUGAAAGAGGAUGAAAAUGCUAACCAGAGGUCUAAGGCAGAGGAGGUGUACCUGUGUGAACAUCAGGAGGGGAGUUCAAAGAUGUCACCAUUUAGGAGUAGAUGUGGAUCCACAAAGAGGUCAAGAAACUCUUCCACUGUGAAACUUGAAAUAAAACUUCAAGAAUCUGAUGAUGAAUAUGAUCUUGUCAUUGAUGUGCCACCACUCACUGUUAAUAAAAAGCCAAGAAUAACUAGGAACUGUGAAAACUGUAAUAAGGAAGAAAAGCUGGCUGCUAUAAUAUGUGCAGAAAAACUGCAUGCUAGUGACAUAGCAAACAGUCCUUCCAAGUGUACGGUAGAAAAAUCAGAGGAAAUGGUCACUUUACAAAAGAAUGGCAGAGAUUUAAAUAAGUCUAAAAAACUAGAUGAUGUUUCUCCAGAAAUUAGUAAGAUAUAUUUGCCUGAUGUAAACAUCAAAAUACCAAAGGUUUCAGAUAAUCUUAAGGAGAAAAGAAAUGCCCUUGCUUAUUCCAAGGAAAAAUGUAUGUCUUCAGCUAUUUGUAUUGAAGCAGAUAUGCAGAAGGAAAUUCUGAAACAAAAGAAUGCAGAAACUAAUAUGCUGGUUGAAGCAUCUGUUCAGGGACAUAGCACCAAUGAAAACUGUCUGACUAGCAAAAGAGCAGCACAAUCUGUCUUGAACACUGACUACUCAUCAAAAGAUGAAACUGUAUUAGGAGAUUGUAAAGAAACAACAGUAAAUACAGGAAAAAUUCAGAGCAUAGAAGAAAAUAAAGGUAAUGAUAUUGUAGAAGAUACAUACCCUCAUCUGACUGAUUACUUAAAUGUAGGCAAGGAGGCUUGCCAUAAUACAGGUCUGACCAAAAGGAGUAAUAAAAAAAAUUUCGUUGAAACUGCAUGUGCAAACAAAGAAAGUGAAAUGACUGUAUUUAGUUCAUCUUCUGAGGAAAUGGAAUCUAGUGAAGGGGAUACGGAGCUCUCAGAAUCAGAUGAUCCUAUAGAAGAGUGUCGGAGAAUUUUCUAUGAAUUUGAAAGAGAAGCACAAAAUAAAGGUGAUAAGCAGGUCCUUGGAGGAAACAUGGAUCUAGAUUUAUUAGAAACAAAAGUGAAUGUUCCUGGACAAAAGAAAAGAAUUGCACACACUGCAAAAUUUGAGGUGAGUUAUAACCUUCUAAUAGGCUAAGGUUUGACAUAGCUUUGUUUAAUAUCAGUAGACUCAUGUUGACUUCAGGUUGGCUGAGGUUCUGUCUUGUAAUCUAAUUGUAAAAAUGUUUUGAAAUGACUCAAAACAAAUUCCUCAUAAUUGCUUCUGCUAAAAGUUGUUGCAAAUACGUAAUCCUGCAGUACCUA
Dromaius novaehollandiae (emu) is the source of this 1776-nucleotide long non-coding RNA. The record is from Ensembl. NCBI's taxonomy places the organism in Eukaryota, Metazoa, Chordata, Aves, Casuariiformes, Dromaiidae.